AUGCAACCGCAGCAGGACGCCGCCGAGGACGUGGUCAUUGUCGGCGCCGGCCUCGCCGGUGUCGACGUCGCCCUGGGACUCCACAGGAAGGGCGUGCGGAGCGUGGUGCUGGAGUCGUCGCCGGCGCUUCGGACGUCCGGCUUCGCGUUCAUGACAUGGACCAACGCCUUCCGCGCGCUUGACGCCCUCGGCGUCGGCGACAAGAUGAGGAGCCACCACCUGCAGGUUCAGGGGAUCGUCUCCAUCGACGACGACAAAGAAGGCGGUGGCGAUGCCAAGAUCCUCCAUCUCGCCGACGGUUCGAUGCUCCGAGCAAAGGUGCUGAUCGGUUGCGACGGGAUCAACUCAGUGGUGGCCAAAUGGCUGGGGCUCGCCAAGCCGCUGGACUCGGGGCGUAGAGCCACGCGGGGGCACGUCAAGUACCCCAAUGGCCACGGCUUCCAGCCCAAGUUCAUGCAGUUCAGCGGCAACGGCUUCCGUGCCGGCCUGGUGCCCUGCGGCGACACGGACGUGUACUGGUUCCUGACGUGGUCACCUUCCUGUCCGGACGGGAAGGAGGACGUUGACCAUAGCCCGGCGGAGAUGAAGCAGUUCGUCCUGGCCAAGCUGCGGAGCAUCAAGGCACCUGACGAGGUGCUGGAAGCGGUCGAGAGGAGCGAGAUGAACGACGUCCUCGUGGCGCCCCUGAGGUACCGCCCGCCGCUGUCGCUCCUCUUCGGGAGCAUCAGCAAGGGGAACGUGUGCGUCGCCGGCGACGCGCUCCACCCCACGACGCCGGACCUGGCACAGGGCGCGUGCAUCGCGCUGGAGGAUGCCGUCGUCCUCGCGCGGUGCCUCGGCGACGCCAUGGCCCGCGAUGGCGACGGCACUGAGACGAUCGAGGCGGCUCUGCGCCGGUACGCCGGGAUCCGGCGGUGGAGGAGCGCGCAGGUGAUCGCGGCGUCCUACAUGGUGGGGCGUGUGCAGCAGAGCGAGCACGCCGUGGUGAGAUUUGCGCGGGACAGGCUGCUGUCAGGGGUGCUCGCCAAGGGGCUCCUCAUGACGCCGGACUACGACUGUGGCACACUUUGA
Molecule: ribosomal RNA, 1071 nt
Filed under: Triticum aestivum (bread wheat)
Lineage: Eukaryota; Viridiplantae; Streptophyta; Magnoliopsida; Poales; Poaceae
Description: partial small subunit ribosomal RNA
Source: RNAcentral